Molecule: ribosomal RNA, 403 nt
Filed under: uncultured bacterium
Lineage: Bacteria
Description: bacterial SSU rRNA
Rfam family: Bacterial small subunit ribosomal RNA
Source: RNAcentral
UGGGGAAUAUUGCGCAAUGGGGGAAACCCUGACGCAGCAACGCCGCGUGAGUGAUGAAGGCUUUCGAGUCGUAAAACUCUGUCUUCGGGGACGAUAAUGACGGUACCCGAGGAGGAAGCCCCGGCUAACUACGUGCCAGCAGCCGCGGUAAUACGUAGGGGGCAAGCGUUGUCCGGAAUCACUGGGCGUAAAGGGCGCGUAGGCGGUUUGUUAAGUCAGGUGUGAAAGUUUUCAGCUUAACUGGAAAAGUGCACUUGAAACUAACUUACUUGAGUACUGGAGAGGUAAGCGGAAUUCCUAUUGUAGCGGUGAAAUGCGUAGAUAUUAGGAAGAACACCGGUGGCGAAGGCGGCUUACUGGACAGAGACUGACGCUGAGGCGCGAAAGCGUGGGGAGCGAACAG